RNAcentral lists this ribosomal RNA (555 nucleotides) under Triticum aestivum (bread wheat). RNAcentral describes it as "partial small subunit ribosomal RNA". The record is from RNAcentral. Lineage: Eukaryota; Viridiplantae; Streptophyta; Magnoliopsida; Poales; Poaceae.
AUGGGCGCACUGGCCUCGACACCUCCAUGGUCGGCGCUGGACAAAGGAGCAGAGGUCCUCUGGCUAGCCGAGGUGAGGAGCGCGGUGUCGCGCGGGGUGGCAGUGGAUCGGGUCGCGGAGGCACUGUGGUGCGUCGACCAGGGGCGCAGCUGGGGCUGCGGUGGGUGGGACCUCCUCGGCGCCCGCGUUUUGCGCCUCGAUCCAGAGCUUUGCUCAAGGGCAUGCGCCGGCGACUGGAUCCAUGGGCGGCAGCACCCAUCGCAGGCGGAUCCACAAUCGGGGGGCUGCAGGUGGCGCGUCGAUGAGCGGAUCCAGCCGAGCCCGAGCAUGGGAUCGCUGCUAAUGGAGGAGAAGGGCGGGGGAGGAGGGACAGCACGGGGUGCGGUUGCUGGUUCCACCGCCGGUGGAGCUGCUCUAGCGGGAGUGGUUGGGAAGGAUGUUGGUAGGGCGGCGCCAUGGGCGGCUUGGGAGGAGAGGGGGCAGAAGAAAGGUCCGCUAAUUUGGGGGUGGAGCAUGGGAAGGAGGAAGAAGGGGAUCCGGCAACGGCGCCGGUAG